AUAAGCCUGGGAAACUGGGUCUAAUACCGAAUAUGACCACGCACUUCCUGGUGUGUGGUGGAAAGCUUUUGCGGUGUGGGAUGGGCCCGCGGCCUAUCAGCUUGUUGGUGGGGUAAUGGCCUACCAAGGCGACGACGGGUAGCCGGCCUGAGAGGGUGACCGGCCACACUGGGACUGAGAUACGGCCCAGACUCCUACGGGAGGCAGCAGUGGGGAAUAUUGCACAAUGGGCGCAAGCCUGAUGCACCGACGCCGCGUGAGGGAUGACGGCCUUCGGGUUGUAAACCUCUUUCAAUACGGACGAAGCGCAAGUGACGGUACCUAUAGAAGAAGGACCGGCCAACUACGUGCCAGCAGCCGCGGUAAUAC
Molecule: ribosomal RNA, 369 nt
Filed under: Mycobacterium sp. c4
Lineage: Bacteria; Bacillati; Actinomycetota; Actinomycetes; Mycobacteriales; Mycobacteriaceae
Description: bacterial SSU rRNA
Rfam family: Bacterial small subunit ribosomal RNA
Source: RNAcentral